Molecule: ribosomal RNA, 701 nt
Filed under: uncultured bacterium
Lineage: Bacteria
Description: bacterial SSU rRNA
Rfam family: Bacterial small subunit ribosomal RNA
Source: RNAcentral
CGGGAUACCCGAGGGAAACUUCGGUUAAUACGGUAUAAGACCACACUACCGCAUGGUAGAGGGGUAAAAGGGGCAACCUGGUAUGAGAUGGACUCGCGUCGCAUUAGCUAGUUGGUGAGGUAACGGCCCACCAAGGCGACGAUGCGUAGCCGACCUGAGAGGGUGAUCGGCCACAUUGGGACUGAGAUACGGCCCAGACUCCUACGGGAGGCAGCAGUGGGGAAUAUUGGGCAAUGGAGGAAACUCUGACCCAGCAAUGCCGCGUGAAUGAAGAAGGUCUUCGGGUUGUAAAGUUCUUUAGUCAGGGAAGAAGUCAAUGACGGUACCUGAAGAAUAAGCUCCGGCUAACUACGUGCCAGCAGCCGCGGUAAUACGUAGGGAGCAAGCGUUGUUCGGAAUGACUGGGCGUAAAGGGUGCGUAGGCGGUUGUACAAGUUAGAAGUGAAAUACCCAGGGCUUAACUCGGGUGCUGCUUCUAAAACUGUAUGACUUGAGUGCAGUAGAGGUUAGUGGAAUUCCUAGUGUAGCGGUGGAAUGCGUAGAUAUUAGGAGGAACACCAGAGGCGAAGGCGGCUAACUGGACUGCAACUGACGCUGAGGCACGAAAGUGUGGGGAGCAAACAGGAUUAGAUACCCUGGUAGUCCACACUGUAAACGAUGGAUACUAGAUGUAGGAGGUAUCGACUCCUUCUGCGUCGCAG